GCGCCUGUAGCUCAAUUUUGGAUAGAGCGACUGCCUCCUAAGCAGUAGGUUGCCCGUUCGAUUCGGGUCAGGCGCACCA
This 79-nucleotide transfer RNA is filed under the name Candidatus Omnitrophota bacterium. Its description in RNAcentral is "Candidatus Omnitrophica bacterium (sediment metagenome) tRNA-Arg". It matches the Rfam family "tRNA". From Rfam's summary of the family: Transfer RNA (tRNA) molecules are approximately 80 nucleotides in length. Their secondary structure includes four short double-helical elements and three loops (D, anti-codon, and T loops). The record is from RNAcentral. Lineage: Bacteria; Pseudomonadati; Candidatus Omnitrophota.